ACUAAACUGCCACCGGGUAGUGAGCUGAUACGCGCUCGUUUCCACAUCGUUAGGUCUUAGAAGAUGUGAGGGAUGAGCGCUUUUUGAAA
This 89-nucleotide non-coding RNA is filed under the name unclassified sequences. The record is from RNAcentral.